CCUACGGGAGGCAGCAGUAGGGAAUCUUCCACAAUGGGCGAAAGCCUGAUGGAGCAACGCCGCGUGGGUGAAGAAGGUCUUCGGAUCGUAAAACCCUGUUGUUAGAGAAGAAAGUGCGUGAGAGUAACUGUUCACGUUUCGACGGUAUCUAACCAGAAAGCCACGGCUAACUACGUGCCAGCAGCCGCGGUAAUACGUAGGUGGCAAGCGUUAUCCGGAUUUAUUGGGCGUAAAGGGAACGCAGGCGGUCUUUUAAGUCUGAUGUGAAAGCCUUCGGCUUAACCGGAGUAGUGCAUUGGAAACUGGGAGACUUGAGUGCAGAAGAGGAGAGUGGAACACCAUGUGUAGCGGUGAAAUGCGUAGAUAUAUGGAAGAACACCAGUGGCGAAAGCGGCUCUCUGAUCUGUAACUGACGCUGAGGUUCGAAAGCGUGGGUAGCAAACAGGAUUAGAUACCCUUGUAGUC
This 465-nucleotide ribosomal RNA is filed under the name uncultured bacterium. Its description in RNAcentral is "partial 16S ribosomal RNA". It matches the Rfam family "Bacterial small subunit ribosomal RNA", at positions 338 to 795 of the family's 1533-position model. The record is from RNAcentral.